AGAGGGUGCGAGCGUUAAUCGGAAUUACUGGGCGUAAAGCGAGUGUAGGUGGCUCAUUAAGUCACAUGUGAAAUCCCCGGGCUUAACCUGGGAACUGCAUGUGAUACUGGUGGUGCUAGAAUAUGUGAGAGGGAAGUAGAAUUCCAGGUGUAGCGGUGAAAUGCGUAGAGAUCUGGAGGAAUACCGAUGGCGAAGGCAGCUUCCUGGCAUAAUAUUGACACUGAGAUUCGAAAGCGUGGGUAGCAAACAGGAUUAGAUACCCUGGUAGUCCACGCCGUAAACGAUGUCUACUAGCCGUUGGGGUCCUUGAGACUUUAGUGGCGCAGUUAACGCGAUAAGUAGACCGCCUGGGGAGUACGGCCGCAAGGUUAAA
This 373-nucleotide ribosomal RNA is filed under the name uncultured bacterium. Its description in RNAcentral is "bacterial SSU rRNA". It matches the Rfam family "Bacterial small subunit ribosomal RNA", at positions 527 to 898 of the family's 1533-position model. The record is from RNAcentral.